GCGUGGGAAUAUGCCCUUCACUAUGGAAUAGCCUCGGGAAACUGAGAGUAAUACCAUAUACGCCUCGGGAAGGAUUAUCGUGAGAUAGCCGCGUAGAUAGAUAGUUGGUGGGGUAAGUGGCCUACCAAGUCUACGAUCUAUAGCUGGUUUGUAGAGGAUGAUCAGCAACACUGGGACGUGAGACACGGCCCAGACUCCUACGGGAGGCAGCAGUGGGGAAGUCUUAGACAAUGGGCGGCAAGCCUGAUCUAGCCAUGCCGCGUGAGUGACGAAGGCCUUAGGGUCGGUAAAGCUCUUUCG
This 300-nucleotide ribosomal RNA is filed under the name uncultured Loktanella sp. Its description in RNAcentral is "bacterial SSU rRNA". It matches the Rfam family "Bacterial small subunit ribosomal RNA", at positions 115 to 438 of the family's 1533-position model. The record is from RNAcentral. Lineage: Bacteria; Pseudomonadati; Pseudomonadota; Alphaproteobacteria; Rhodobacterales; Roseobacteraceae.